GCACAAGCGGUGGAUGAUGUGGUUAAUUCGAUGCAACGCGAAAACCUUACCACCUUUGACAUGUACGGAACUCGCCAGAGAUGGCUUGGUGCUCGAAAGAGAACCGUAACACAGGUGCUGCAUGGCUGUCGUCAGCUCGUGUCGUGAGAUGUUGGGUUAAGUCCCGCAACGAGCGCAACCCUUGUCAUUAGUUGCUACAUUUAGUUGGGCACUCUAAUGAGACUGCCGGUGACAAGCCGGAGGAAGGUGGGGAUGACGUCAAGUCCUCAUGGCCCUUAUAGGUGGGGCUACACACGUCAUACAAUGGCUGGUACAGAGGGUUGCCAACCCGCGAGGGGGAGCUAAUCCCAUAAAACCAGUCGUAGUCCGGAUCGCAGUCUGCAACUCGACUGCGUGAAGUCGGAAUCGCUAGUAAUCGCGGAUCAGAAUGUCGCGGUGAAUACGUUCCCGGGUCUU
RNAcentral lists this ribosomal RNA (456 nucleotides) under uncultured Polaromonas sp. Its description in RNAcentral is "bacterial SSU rRNA". It matches the Rfam family "Bacterial small subunit ribosomal RNA", at positions 923 to 1382 of the family's 1533-position model. The record is from RNAcentral. Lineage: Bacteria; Pseudomonadati; Pseudomonadota; Betaproteobacteria; Burkholderiales; Comamonadaceae.